CCAACUUUACUAACCAGCAGUAAUGUAAUGUAAAGUGACCUUAAAGAUCAUUACAAGCAGUCAAAUCGAUGUUUCCAGUAGCCGGAAAGCUGUUGUAAUCCAUGUUCCCUACAGAUUGAGCAAAGCUUUUCGUAGGGUUCAUGUUAAGCUCGUGAGGGAACUCGAAAGGAAGUUCAGUGGCAAGGUGGGGGUUGUUUCAUGUUCGAGUCAUUGGGGAUUUGAUGUGAUUCUCAUUUCCACCCGAAGGAUAUUAAGGCCUCCAAAAAAGGGCUCUGCUGUUCAGAGGCCACGCAGCCGUACAUGAGGCAAUGCUCGAAGAUAUCAUUUUACCUGCCGAGAUUGUCGGGAAGCGUCGAUGGAUUGAAGAUGAAUAAGGUACAAACAGUAUGUAGUUAUUGAUGCUAAUGCUAAUUCAUUCUGUGCCACCCUUGUUGUGUAGGUGUAUUUGCACCCGAAGGAACAAAACAACACGGAGUAUAAACUCGAGACCUUUUCUACGGUUUACCGGAAGCUUGCCGGAAAGGAUGUUGUGUUUGAGUUACCCGGUACAGUGACAUAGAUAGAUCCUUUUCAAGUGUAUUGACACUUCGUGUUUUGGUCUUCUUUGCCUCCAAAACUGUUUUGUUGUAGUGUAUCUUAAAAUUUUGGCAUUCAUUUCAUUA
RNA transcript from Gossypium raimondii (Peruvian cotton), 662 nucleotides. RefSeq lists it as uncharacterized. The record is from RefSeq and is a predicted model, not a curated record. The transcript is spliced from 2 exons. Lineage: Eukaryota; Viridiplantae; Streptophyta; Magnoliopsida; Malvales; Malvaceae.